GCCUAGCAUAAGGCCAAGAGACCUUGCUCGCUUUGGGACUGACCCUGCAAAGUCUUGAGUUACUGAGAACAAAGGAAAUCCAGGGUGCCUAGUCCUCUCCACCAAAUUUUGAUUAGUCCCCACCAUUUUAAAGUAGGCAUUUAUACACAAG
Mauremys reevesii (Reeves's turtle) is the source of this 151-nucleotide long non-coding RNA. RefSeq lists it as uncharacterized. The transcript is spliced from 3 exons. Lineage: Eukaryota; Metazoa; Chordata; Testudines; Geoemydidae. The record is from RefSeq and is a predicted model, not a curated record.